Molecule: long non-coding RNA, 1420 nt
Filed under: Equus caballus (horse)
Lineage: Eukaryota; Metazoa; Chordata; Mammalia; Perissodactyla; Equidae
Description: lncRNA (ENSECAG00000051928.1)
Source: RNAcentral
CCCCCCAGCCCCCGCCAGCCUUUGCUGGCCCUGAUGCCCCUCCUCCUCCCGAUCUGCCAGUCUCCCUUCCUCCUACCCUCUGUCCCAUUUUCUGUUUGUCCCGCUGAAUCCGUAGUGUUUCAGAGGCACUUCUCCGGCCCAGGCUCUAUGCCUAGAAAGUGGGGAUCCUCUUUGGCCUGGGUUGACCCUGUGACAGGCACAGGACUGAUAGGACACUUGUCCAUCUGCCACCCGGCCCCAGCCUUGGACGAGGCCUGGCACGGAGCAAGCCAGGUUCUGGGACCCAUGAGCAGCAUUUUCAGCCUGCCCUGGUGUUCUCAUUUGUGGGACAGGGCUUUGCAGCUAGGCACAUCAUCGCUGCAAGUUUCUGCCGACCCCUGCACAUUUCUCACUCUGUUUCCCCUGUGGACUUCACUGUCUCAAAGAGGGUGGGAAAACAGUAGUGAAGCUUCAUAAUUCCUUACAUUUGGAUAAGAGUUCCCCAGACCCUUUCACAUUCAGUAAUGUCACUGGAUCCUCCUGUCAACACCAGAAGAUGAACGAUGAGGAGACCGAGGUUCCGAAAGGUGGGGGCAGUACUAAAGAGAGAGUAAGAGUAUGUCUGCUUGGUGGGAGAGGACAGCAGGAUGUCUUCUCUGCACCUGUACCAGCCCCGGUGUGGUGAGGAGCAGGCAGGGCUCCGCUCCUCAUCGUUAAAGCCCGGGCUGGCUCCAGCUGGACCCUAUUCAAGUGCGAUGGUCACAGGCACUACAGGCUACCAGCCUCCCAGCAGCACACUGAGGGACCAGGCAAGAGCAGCCUGGGGGCACCCAGACAAGAGGGCACCAGGCAUUUGGGUUGGAGGAGGAGGAGGAGAAACAAGACAUAGAAUCAUAGAGGGGUUCUUCCACAGGAGCUGGGGACUAGGAGACAGUAACUGCUUAGAGAGAGUCGGAGGAAUGUGGCGGAAGCAAGGCCUGGGAGUCAGCCUAGAGGAAGCAGGAGACUGGGAAGCAUCUCACCGUCCGUCACUGGGGGCCUGGUAAAAUAGAUUAUGACACAGUCUUCAGAUGCUUCACUAGAAAGCCUUUACCCAGCGUGAGGCAGUUCUCCAGCUUGCCAUGUGAGAGUAUCCCCAAACCAAGAAGUUACAGGAGUGAGGCCAAGAUCAGUGGGCACAGUUAUGCAUAUUUCACACAAGAUACAUCCACAUCGGCACUUACCUGUCCAGAAUGUCUCUGGAAAGAUGUACGAGAAACAGGCGCUGAGGUCAGGGAUGAGAAGGAGCCUCACUUUUUACUGUAUGCCCUUUUGUCCUUUUAGAGUUUUCAUUAAUCGGAUCUUUUUUUUAACCAUGUGUAUACAUGAUCACCAGAGAGAGAGAGACAGGAGGGAGGGAGAGAGGCAGGAGGGCAGAGAGCUCAGGCAAAGGGAACUGAAU